GUGCUUGCUUCGGCAGCACAUCUACUAAAAUUUAAACGAAACAGAAAAGAUUACCAUGGCCCCUGCACAAGGAUGACACAUAAAUUCAUGAAGCAUUCCAUAUUUUU
Molecule: small nuclear RNA, 107 nt
Organism: Otolemur garnettii (small-eared galago)
Lineage: Eukaryota; Metazoa; Chordata; Mammalia; Primates; Galagidae
Source: Ensembl